ACGCCGCGUGAGGGAUGACGGCCUUCGGGUUGUAAACCUCUUUCAGCAGGGACGAACCGAGAGUGACGGUACCUGCAGAAGAAGGACCGGCCAACUACGUGCCAGCAGCCGCGGUAAUACGUAGGGUCCGAGCGUUGUCCGGAAUUAUUGGGCGUAAAGGGCUCGUAGGCGGUUUGUCGCGUCGGGAGUGAAAACUCAGGGCUCAACCCUGAGCGUGCUUCCGAUACGGGCAAACUAGAGGUAUGCAGGGGAGAAUGGAAUUCCUGGUGUAGCGGUGGAAUGCGCAGAUAUCAGGAGGAACACCGGUGGCGAAGGCGGUUCUCUGGGCAUUACCUGACGCUGAGGAGCGAAAGCAUGGGGAGCGAACAGGAUUAGAUACCCUGGUAGUCCAUGCCGUAAACGUUGGGCGCUAGGUGUGGGGACCUUCCACGGUUUCCGUGCCGCAGCUAACGCAUUAAGCGCCCCGCCUGGGGAGUACGGCCGCAAGGCUAAAACUCAAAGGAAUUGACGGGG
This 513-nucleotide ribosomal RNA is filed under the name Aeromicrobium erythreum. RNAcentral describes it as "bacterial SSU rRNA". It matches the Rfam family "Bacterial small subunit ribosomal RNA", at positions 394 to 918 of the family's 1533-position model. The record is from RNAcentral. Lineage: Bacteria; Bacillati; Actinomycetota; Actinomycetes; Propionibacteriales; Nocardioidaceae.